RNAcentral lists this unclassified non-coding RNA (3038 nucleotides) under Hevea brasiliensis (rubber tree). Lineage: Eukaryota; Viridiplantae; Streptophyta; Magnoliopsida; Malpighiales; Euphorbiaceae. The record is from RNAcentral.
UUUAGAUUCUCACGUGAAAACAGUAUAAAGUUAUUUUGAUAAAAUAAUUUAAUUUUUAUGUAUAAAAUAACUUUAUUAUCUCUGCUUAUCCACGUUUAUUGUGGAUCAACUUCAUCCCCCAAACAUUUUCCAUUUCCAAAUAUCUAUUUGGCUAUAUAAACUUUUGACGCUUAUACAUAAAACAUUGCAUAAGACAACAAAUAAUAAUUAGAUAAAAGCCAACCCUCAGAACCACUUGUUCUUCGGGCCUCCUAGUCCUACUCUGCAACUGCCAGUCAUAACGGCAAGGGAAAACCACACAAAAAAGCCACCAAGAGACGUCUUACUAUGCGUAGCAAAAUCUACACUUAUGCUACUAAACUUCACUCACCUUCUUCCCUACUGCUUCAACUACUAGUUUAACCAUCUACCGCCAUUGAUCAAAUCCACAAUUUGAUCACAAUGGAUCUAUUUGGGUCACCACAAUGGGGCUCCUAACCACAUGCUUCCCGUCCGACCAUGAAAUUGAACCGAACACAGCACCCGAAUCGUCCAUUAUCAGAUUCCGGGUAUCUGCGGUUAUUGUCACAAUAAAGCUCUGCUUCUUCAUUCGCUGAUUGAACACCAAUCUCGCUGGUUUCACCGCCACCGUUGUCCCUUUGGGAGCUUCAAUUAUUGGCCGAUAAACAGCGUUUGGUGGACCCACAUUGGUCACGGUUCUGAUAAACGCCUUGCUUUUUGCUCCUACUGAUGAGCUUGGGAACAAUGCUGCAAUAGAAGGAUAGUUGAGGUUCUCAGGCGAAGGCCUCUUUACCGGACAAGUCACUGGUGAUCGCGUGAUCACCUGAAUUGCUUUUGGGCUGUAUCCAUUUCCACAAAGGAAGUUCACAUAAUCAUUGUUAGUGAUAUCGUACACAAGUCCUGGAUCCAUUGCACGAUCAAGAUUAAGAUGCCCUGCACCAAAAUCGUAGGGUGUAGAUGCUUUUCCAGUCGCCUCAUCGAUCAUGGGUUGGUUCAGAUUAUCCAAUGUGUUGGCAGUGGUCAUCAUUGCAGACCUAAUUGCUGCAGGACUCCAAUCUGGGUGUGCAGAUUUAAGCAAGGCUGCUGCGCCGCUUACAUGUGGGCAAGCCAUUGAAGUUCCAGACAGGAUAUUGAAUUCAGUUCUUCUUGUAUCUGAAUCCAGUCCAGUUGGACCAACUGCAUCCGUCCAAGCAGCAAGAAUAUUAACACCCGGAGCAAUCAAGUCCGGCUUGAGAAUCUCUGGGUUCAAGCCAUUUGGCCCUCUACCAGAAAAAGAGGCCACAACAGGAGCCGGUUUGAUUCCAACGACAGUGCCCUUGAAAUCAAUAGUGGCUGUAGGAUUGGGCGUGGAAGAAAUAUAUGCCUUAACAGCAUCACCCUCGUCAGACCCAACAGCACAAGCAGGAAGAAGGUGAGCAUCGCCAACAAGCCCUUCACCGUUGGAAAUUCCAUUGGCAAGAAUCAUAGCAAUACCUCCAGCUUUCUUGACAACCAACCCUUUAGCCACUCUAGGACUACUUCCACGAUCGCAAAUAACAAUUUUGCCUCUAACCAUAUUUGGAUCCAGUGAAUUUUCCAUACAUAACGAAGUCGAGAGAACCCCUGAUUUCCCUGGAUAAACCAGAGGAAACAUCUUCCCAUUCAGUGGAACUCCAGAGUAGAGAGACACACCAGAUAGCCUAUGCCCAUUACCCAGAAUCACAUCAGCUGGAAAAUUCCUAUCAAUUGUGCCUGCACCAACAGUGACAAGCCAAGGUGCCAGGUUUGUCACGGACAUUAAAUUAGGUCCAUCAUUACCAGCAGAAGAUGACACGAAAACCCCUCUAGAAACGGCACCGUAAGAACCAAUGGCUAUGGGAUCAAGAUAAUAAGGCGAGGAAAUUCCAUCACCACCGCCAAUGGAGAUGGAUAUAACAUCCACUCCAUCAUUAACAGCAGCAUCGAAAGCAGCUAAUAUAUCAGAAUCGAAACAGCCCGAAUUUUUCCAACACACCUUGUAAGCAGCCAGUCGCGCUUUUGGAGCAACACCUUUAGCAAUCCCCGGCGCGUACCCCGCCAUGCUGGCGCCGAACGAGUGCCUUCCCGCCGCAGUCGACGCUGUGUGCGUCCCAUGUCCAUCCGCAUCUCUCGGAGAUUUGAACUCAACGGUUUCGUUUAUUCCGCUUAUCGGCCCUGCCGAUCUCGCAGCCGCUUCAUGACCUUCGAGGAAAAAACGAGCCCCAAUUAACUUCUUAUUACAAUUUUUGGGGGUGAAUUUCACUCCAGCCUGACAAAUGCCUUUCCACCUCGCCGGCACCGGCCCGAGAUUGACAUCCGAGAAGCUACGGCGCUCUGGCCAGAUUCCGGUAUCGAACACUCCAAUAAUAACGUCGGAUCCGUAAUCAGAUUCGGACCAAAGCCCGCGCUGAUUUCGGAGCCCUAGGAACUGAGGGGACCUUGUAGUGUGAAGCUGGCGGCGACGGUCCUCGAAAACAGAGAGAACAGAAGGGUGUUGGCUGAGGUAGGAAGCAUGGUCUGGAGUAACAGAAGCAGAAAAGCCAUGGAAAACGGUGUCGUAUACAUGCAGGAUUUGGAGAGGAUCAGCAAACUCGGAAGUAUACCAGUGGUAGUGUGUGGCGAAAAUAGAGGGCUUGGAUUCAGAGUCGACGCGGAAGAUGAAGGUUUUGAGCGUCUGAUCGGAGGAAAGUGCUAGAAGGUGGAAAUUAGAAAGGAAAGAAAAGAAGAAAAGGAAGAACAGGGGAAGUGAAAUGUAGAGAAAUGAAGCCAUGAGAGAGGAGCAGCAGAGGAUAGUGAAGUGAAGGAUAUGUGCUGUGAUAACCGACUGAUAUACUAUUAUAAUCUAAGUUACUUUUAUCGUCGUUUUAUGAUUUAAUUAAUACUAGUAUUAUAAUCUAAGUUACUUAGAUUAAUGAUCUUAAUUUAAAAAAUGUAAACAUCAGCUCAGGCUCUGUGGGAUAUGUGUAUAUUUUUCAUCUGCUGAGUCAGCUCUAUUUUUGCGGGACCUAGAUAAUAUCAACGGGUAACCUCUCUUCUGCUGA